RNAcentral lists this ribosomal RNA (442 nucleotides) under uncultured bacterium. RNAcentral's name for it is "partial 16S ribosomal RNA". It matches the Rfam family "Bacterial small subunit ribosomal RNA", at positions 338 to 795 of the family's 1533-position model. The record is from RNAcentral.
CCUACGGGAGGCAGCAGUGGGGGAUAUUGCACAAUGGGGGAAACCCUGAUGCAGCGACGCCGCGUGGGCGAAGAAGUAUUUCGGUAUGUAAAGCCCUAUCAGCAGGGGAGAAGAAAUGACGGUACCUGAGUAAGAAGCACCGGCUAAAUACGGGCCAGCAGCCGCGGUAAUACGUAUGGUGCAAGCGUUAUCCGGAUUUACUGGGUUGAAAGGGAGCGCAGGCGGCGCGGCAAGCCUGAUGUGAAAGCCCGCGGCCCAACCGCGGGACUGCAUUGGAAACUACCGGGCUGGAGUGCCGGAGAGGUGGGCGGAAUUCCUGGUGGAGCGGUGAAAUGCGUAGAUAUUAGGAGGAACACCAGUGGCGAAGGCAGCCUACUGGACGGUGACUGACGCUGAGGCUCGAAAGCGUGGGGAGCAAACAGGAUUAGAUACCCGGGUAGUC